GAUGAAGAACGUAGCGAAAUGCGAUAAGUAAUGUGAAUUGCAGAAUUCAGUGAAUCAUCGAAUCUUUGAACGCACAUUGCGCCCGCCAGUAUUCUGGCGGGCAUGCCUGUUCGAGCGUCAUUACAACCCUCAGGCCCCCGGGCCUGGCGUUGGGGAUCGGCGGAAGCCCCCUGUGGGCACACGCCGUCCCUCAAAUACAGUGGCGGUCCCGCCGCAGCUUCCAUUGCGUAGUAGCUAACACCUCGCAACUGGAGAGCGGCGCGGCCAUGCUGUAAAACACCCAACUUCUGAAUGUUGACCUCGAAUCAGGUAGGAAUACCCGCUGAACUUAAGCAUAUCAAUAAGCGGAGGA
This 352-nucleotide unclassified non-coding RNA is filed under the name soil metagenome. Its description in RNAcentral is "partial contains 5.8S ribosomal RNA, internal transcribed spacer 2, and large subunit ribosomal RNA". The stretch from base 1 to 120 matches the Rfam family "5.8S ribosomal RNA", at positions 35 to 154 of the family's 154-position model. The record is from RNAcentral.